UUACGAUGAUGACAAUCUUAGGACACCUUUGGAUUAUACAUGAAAACAAUGAUGUACUAUGCUGAGUGAC
Small nucleolar RNA from Rhincodon typus (whale shark), 70 nucleotides. RefSeq annotates it as small nucleolar RNA SNORD58. The record is from RefSeq and is a predicted model, not a curated record. Lineage: Eukaryota; Metazoa; Chordata; Chondrichthyes; Orectolobiformes; Rhincodontidae. The transcript has a single exon.